RNAcentral lists this ribosomal RNA (451 nucleotides) under uncultured bacterium. Its description in RNAcentral is "bacterial SSU rRNA". It matches the Rfam family "Bacterial small subunit ribosomal RNA", at positions 340 to 784 of the family's 1533-position model. The record is from RNAcentral.
UACGGAAGGCAGCAGUGGGGAAUAUUGCACAAUGGGCGCAAGCCUGAUGCAGCCAUGCCGCGUGUAUGAAGAAGGCCUUCGGGUUGUAAAGUACUUUCAGUCGUGAGGAAGGUGUUAAGGUUAAUAACCUUAGCAAUUGACGUUAGCGACAGAAGAAGCACCGGCUAACUCCGUGCCAGCAGCCGCGGUAAUACGGAGGGUGCGAGCGUUAAUCGGAAUUACUGGGCGUAAAGGGCACGCAGGCGGUUAAUUAAGUUGGAUGUGAAAUCCCCGGGCUUAACCUGGGAAUGGCAUUCAAGACUGGUUAGCUAGAGUCUUGUAGAGGGGGUAGAAUUCCAUGUGUAGCGGUGAAAUGCGUAGAGAUGUGGAGGAAUACCGGUGGCGAAGGCGGCCCCUGGGACAAGACUGACGCUCAUGUGCGAAAGCGUGGGGAGCGAAACAGGAUUAGAUA